This 467-nucleotide ribosomal RNA is filed under the name uncultured bacterium. RNAcentral describes it as "bacterial SSU rRNA". It matches the Rfam family "Bacterial small subunit ribosomal RNA", at positions 329 to 796 of the family's 1533-position model. The record is from RNAcentral.
UCCCAGACUCCUACGGGAGGCAGCAGUGAGGAAUAUUGGUCAAUGGCCGAGAGGCUGAACCAGCCAAGUCGCGUGAGGGAAGAAUGUCCUAUGGAUUGUAAACCUCUUUUGUCAGGGAGCAAAGUCACCCACGUGUGGGUGUUGGAGAGUACCUGAAGAAAAAGCAUCGGCUAACUCCGUGCCAGCAGCCGCGGUAAUACGGAGGAUGCGAGCGUUAUCCGGAUUUAUUGGGUUUAAAGGGUGCGUAGGCGGGCUUUUAAGUCAGCGGUAAAAAUUCGGGGCUCAACCCCGUCCGGCCGUUGAAACUGGGGGCCUUGAGUGGGCGAGAAGAAGGCGGAAUGCGUGGUGUAGCGGUGAAAUGCAUAGAUAUCACGCAGAACCCCGAUUGCGAAGGCAGCCUUCCGGCGCCCUACUGACGCUGAGGCACGAAAGUGCGGGGAUCGAACAGGAUUAGAUACCCGAGUACC